This 73-nucleotide transfer RNA is filed under the name Methanosarcinales archaeon. RNAcentral's name for it is "tRNA-Met". It matches the Rfam family "tRNA". From Rfam's summary of the family: Transfer RNA (tRNA) molecules are approximately 80 nucleotides in length. Their secondary structure includes four short double-helical elements and three loops (D, anti-codon, and T loops). Further hydrogen bonds mediate the characteristic L-shaped molecular structure. tRNAs have two regions of fundamental functional importance: the anti-codon, which is responsible for specific mRNA codon recognition, and the 3' end, to which the tRNAs corresponding amino acid is attached (by aminoacyl-tRNA synthetases). tRNAs cope with the degeneracy of the genetic code in two manners: having more than one tRNA (with a specific anti-codon) for a particular amino acid; and 'wobble' base-pairing, i.e. permitting non-standard base-pairing at the 3rd anti-codon position. The record is from RNAcentral. Lineage: Archaea; Methanobacteriati; Methanobacteriota; Methanomicrobia; Methanosarcinales.
GCCCGAGUGGCCUAGCUGGAGGGGCGCCAGACUCAUAAUCUGGAGGUCACGGGAUCGUACCCCGUCUCGGGCA